RNAcentral lists this ribosomal RNA (253 nucleotides) under uncultured prokaryote. Its description in RNAcentral is "partial 16S ribosomal RNA". It matches the Rfam family "Bacterial small subunit ribosomal RNA", at positions 524 to 776 of the family's 1533-position model. The record is from RNAcentral.
UACGAGGGGGGCAAGCGUUGUUCGGAAUUAUUGGGCGUAAAGGGUGAGUAGGCGGUUUGUUAAGUCGGUUGUGAAAGCCCGGGGCUCAACCCCGGAGGGUCGACCGAUACUGGCAGGCUAGAGUACAGAAGAGGUAACUGGAAUUCCCGGUGUAGCGGUGAAAUGCGUAGAUAUCGAGAGGAACACCUGCGGCGAAGGCGGGUUGCUGGGCUGAUACUGACGCUGAUGCGCGAAAGCCAGGGGAGCGAACGGG